This 411-nucleotide ribosomal RNA is filed under the name uncultured bacterium. Its description in RNAcentral is "bacterial SSU rRNA". It matches the Rfam family "Bacterial small subunit ribosomal RNA", at positions 505 to 916 of the family's 1533-position model. The record is from RNAcentral.
GUGCCAGCAGCCGCGGUAAUACGUAGGGUGCAAGCGUUAAUCGGAAUUACUGGGCGUAAAGCGAGCGCAGGCGGUUGUGUAAGACAGAUGUGAAAUCCCCGGGCUCAACCUGGGAACUGCAUUUGUGACUGCACGGCUAGAGUGCGUCAGAGGGGGGUGGAACUCCACGUGUAGCAGUGAAAUGCGUAGAGAUGUGGAAGAACACCGAUGGCGAAGGCAGCCCCCUGGGAUGACACUGACGCUCAUGCUCGAAAGCGUGGGGAGCAAACAGGAUUAGAUACCCUGGUAGUCCACGCCCUAAACGAUGUCUACUAGUUGUCGGUCCUUAAUUGGAUUGGUAACGCAGCUAACGCGUGAAGUAGACCGCCUGGGGAGUACGGUCGCAAGAUUAAAACUUAAAGAAAUUGACGG